GGCGGUUCUCGGGUGAUGCAUCCUGAGAUUGGACUCACUCCUCUCUGGUUCUGGGUGCAUCAUCUGAGAAUCGUA
Molecule: non-coding RNA, 75 nt
Organism: Myotis davidii
Lineage: Eukaryota; Metazoa; Chordata; Mammalia; Chiroptera; Vespertilionidae
Source: Rfam